GGUCUGUCUAGUGUUGUCUAGAGGGGUCUGUCUGUAGUGUUGUCUAGAGGGGUCUGUCUGGAGUGUUGUCUAGAGGGGUCUGUCUGUAGUUGUUGUCUGGGGUCUGUCUGUAGUGUUGUCUAGAGGGGCCUGUCUGUAGUGUUGUCUAGAGGGGCCUGUCUGUAGUGUUGUCUAGAGGGGUCUGUCUGUAGUGUUGUCUAGAGGGGUCUGUCUGUAGUGUUGUCUAGAGGGGUCUGUCUAGUGUUGUCUAGAGGGGUCUGUCUAGUGUUGUCUAGAGGGGUCUGUCUGUAGUGUUGUCUCGGGGGGUCUCUGUAGUGUUGUCUAGAGGGGUCUGUCUGUAGUGUUGUCUCGGGGGUCUGUCUGUAGUGUUGUCUCGGGGGGUCUGUCUGUGUUGUCUAGAGGGGUCUGUCUAGUGUUGUCUAGAGGGGUCUGUCUGUAGUGUUGUCUAGAGGGGUCUGUAGUGUUGUCUAGAGGGGUCUGUCUGUAGUGUUGUCUAGAGGGGUCUGUCUGUAGUGUUGUCUCGGGGGGGUCUGUAGUGUUGUCUGCCCCAGGACCGUGAUCCCAGGCCUGUCUGGCUUCCCUCUGAGGAAACACUGCUGUUGGUUGAUAGUGCGACUCAUUACAGAAGUCGUCUUUGAGGACAGUCAUGUCUUGUAUUCAAAAUGAGGAUCAUAAAAGAGGUUUCCCAUGACGCAAUUCAACUGAUAUGCCACACAGAGCCAUGUAAGAAUCAAUGUGGCUCCCUUUAAUGAACAACAUGAGAGAGGCUGAUUGCUGGGUUAAUUAACGAGAGGUGUAGUGAUGUUAAGAUGAGCUGUCUGUCUGAGCUGACCACUCGAGACCCACUGGAUCCUGGCCAGCAGGGGAGAAGACAGGAAGUACACUGUCACCGCCCUCCGAGUCAGCCCUGUAGCCAUAUCAACGCCCUUAGCCAUACAGACACACAUUUAAAAUUCUGAUAUCGCUAACAUCUCCAUGAGCUCAAUCGCCCUCAUUCCCUUCAGGCAGACCUCGGUUCAAAUAGUAUCUGAAAUAUUAUUUGAUUGAGCUGAAAUAAUUCUUGAUUGAGCUUGCCUGGCACAAUAGAAUCAAUAGAAGGAAAAAAACUAAGUGCAAACCCUGCUCACUGUCACUACUGAUGAGCUGUCUGUUCCUGACUACUGAGUGGAUCCAACAGGAAGUUCUCCGUCACCGCCCUCAGUCUGCCCUGUAGCGAUAUCAAUGCCCUGCGGCCUCCAGAAUUCCAGACACACCUCCCUUAAAGCUACAGUCUGGGGUUCGAAAAACAACAACGCAACUGCCCCGCCUCUUAUUUUGGUAUGAGUCUGUGAAAUGGGAUCCAUUUAAUGUAACCCCUCCUAUAGUCACAGAGGCAAUUAUAAGGUCAACCAUCAAUGGUACUCUACCUCUUUUAAAGAACCGCUCAGUCCUCUUUUAAAGAACCGCUCAGUCCUCUUUUAAAGAACCGCUCAGUCCUUCUUUUAAAGAACCGAUCUCAGUCCUUCUUUUAAAGAACCGCUCAGUCCUCUUUUAAAGAACCGCUCAGUCCUCUUUUAAAGAACCGCUCAGUCCUUCUUUUAAAGAACCGAUCAGUCCUUUUAAAUAACCGCUCAGUCCUCUUUUAAAGAACCGCUCAGUCCUCUUUUAAAGAACCGAUCCCAGUCCUCUUUUAAAGAACCGAUCCCAGUCCUCCUGCAAAGAACCGAUCCCAGUCCUCCUGUAAAGAACCGAUCCCAGUCCUCCUGUAAAGAACCGAUCCCAGUCCUCCUGUAAAGAACUGAUCCCAGUCCUCCUGUAAAGAACCGAUCCCAGUCCUCCUGUAAAGAACUGAUCCCAGUCCUCCUGUAAAGAACUGAUCCCAGUCCUCCUGUAAAGAACCGAUCUCAGUCCUCCUCAGUAGUUAUAUCAGUAGUUGCUUGUUUGUAGGUGACCAAAUACUUAUUUUCCACCAUAAUUUGCAAAUAAAUUAAUAAAAAAUCAUGGAAAAUCUUUGGAGGGGGUUGAAAGUCCGUGUUGCCCAGCAACAGCCCCAAAACAUCACUGCUCUAGAGGAGAUCUGCAUGGAGGAAUGGGCCAAAAUACCAGCAACAGUGUGUGGAAGACUUACAGAAAACGUUUGACCUCUGUCAUUGCCAACAAAGGGUAUAUAACAAAGUAUUGAGAUAAACUUUUGUUAUUGACCAAAUACCUAUUUUCCACCAUAAUUUGCAAAUAAAUUCAUUAAAAAUCAUACAAUGUGAUUUUCUGGAUUUUUUUUCUCAUUUUGUCUGUCAUAGUUGAAGUGUACCUAUGAUGAAAAUUACAGGCCUCUCUCAUCUUUUUAAGUGGGAGAACUUGC
Long non-coding RNA from Oncorhynchus tshawytscha (Chinook salmon), 2338 nucleotides. The record is from Ensembl. NCBI's taxonomy places the organism in Eukaryota, Metazoa, Chordata, Actinopteri, Salmoniformes, Salmonidae.